This is a long non-coding RNA of Eucalyptus grandis, 508 nucleotides long. RefSeq lists it as uncharacterized. The transcript is spliced from 2 exons. Lineage: Eukaryota; Viridiplantae; Streptophyta; Magnoliopsida; Myrtales; Myrtaceae. The record is from RefSeq and is a predicted model, not a curated record.
UGUUGUUUUGGGGUUUUCAGAUGCUCAAUUCUCAAGUUACGACGGCGCAACACAAGGCGCGAAAGAAGGCUUAUGAUAUUAUAGCAUCGUUGUUGAAGAUUCCGUUCUUGGAUGAGGAGGUCACGAACAGCAGCUCUUUCCAGCGGAAGUUCUACAAGCUUUUUCGAAAAAAUUGUUGGACCUUGUUCUUCAUCGCCCGAGUUAAGCUGCUUUCUCGCUUCCACCUAAUUUUUAAAAUGAUAUGGCAGAUUUAGAGGAUAAAGGCAAGGGGCUUUGCUCAACGCUUGAGGCUACACUUGGGCUUGUGAGGUGGUGGUGAAAUGUGGGCGAAGUGGUGCGGCGGUUAGUCGGCGCAUGGUAGAUUGGCAAUGUCGAUCGUGGUAACCAUGCUGUGCCGUUGGAAAAAUCAAAUAUUGUGGACAAAAACUACAGUUGUGCCCUUUUUUGUUGGCUCUUUUAGUUUUUUUUUUCUUUUUAAACUUUAUCAUAUUGUGUUUAUGGACUCAAA